Molecule: transfer-messenger RNA, 372 nt
Filed under: Amycolatopsis acidicola
Lineage: Bacteria; Bacillati; Actinomycetota; Actinomycetes; Pseudonocardiales; Pseudonocardiaceae
Description: Standard tmRNA
Rfam family: transfer-messenger RNA
About the family: Bacterial tmRNA, also known as 10Sa RNA or SsrA, is named for its dual tRNA and mRNA-like properties.
Source: Rfam by way of RNAcentral
GGGGGUGAACGGUUUCGACUUUGGACGUUGAGUCAAGAGAAGCGUGCCGGUGCAGGCGAGAGACCACCGUAAGCGUCAUCGCACUAAAAUAAGCGCCAAGACGAAUAGUCGCGCUGACUACGCCCUCGCCGCCUGAGCGAGCGCGUGUCUGUCGGCCCGGGGGCGCCUCCGCCCCGGUAGCCGGCAUCAGCUAGGAGGCUCACCUACCGGACCCGGCCGCGGGGUCCGGAUGGGAAAACCACAGCGGCUGGGCCCGCCACAUCGGCUUGUUCGCGUGACCGAUGGGGCCGAGUAGAGGCAUAGCGAACUGCGCACGGAGAAGUCUUGGUGAGGCGCCAGAGGACCCGGGUUCAAUUCCCGGCACCUCCACCC